This 216-nucleotide ribosomal RNA is filed under the name uncultured eukaryote. RNAcentral describes it as "partial large subunit ribosomal RNA". It matches the Rfam family "Bacterial large subunit ribosomal RNA", at positions 2264 to 2479 of the family's 2925-position model. The record is from RNAcentral.
GGCAGUUUGACUGGGGCGGUCGCCUCCUAAAUGGUAACGGAGGCGUACAAAGGUUUCCUCAGAUCGGUCAGAAAUCGAUCGUAGAGUGUAAAGGCAUAAGGAAGCUUGACUGUGAGACCUACAAGUCGAGCGGGGACGAAAGUCGGUCUUAGUGAUCUGACGGUACUGAGUGGAAAGGCCGUCACUCAACGGGUAAAAGUUACUCUAGGGAUAACA